UAUGUUCAACAAGAAUGUGUCCUCAGUACACGAAUGCCCCACUCGCACUAUCAUUUUCUAUGUUCAGUGGACCGUGAAAUUGGGGUAAAAUCUCUAAUUUGGCAUUAAAAUUAGAAAGAUCAUAUCAUAGGGAACAUGUGUACCAAGUUUGAAGUCGAUUGGACUUCAACUUCAUCAAAAACCAGCUCGACCAAAAACUUUAACCUGAAGCGGGACAGACGGACGAACGAACGAACGAACGGACGGACGGACGAACGAACGAACGGACGCACAGACCAGAAAACAUAAUGCCCCUCUACUAUCGUAGGUGGGGCAUAAAAAUAUAAU
Molecule: long non-coding RNA, 327 nt
Filed under: Mytilus galloprovincialis (Mediterranean mussel)
Lineage: Eukaryota; Metazoa; Mollusca; Bivalvia; Mytilida; Mytilidae
Source: RNAcentral